GGGAACAGCCCUGGUGUUGAUCAUUCUUUUGUAGAAGAUGAUGAAGAUACUCAACAAAAAUCAGGAAGCAUUAGCCCAAGCAAUGAUAAGCAUUCUAUUGCAGAAGAUAAGGAAGAUUUCCGACCUACCGACCCAGGACAUAGCCCUGAUGCUGGACAUUCUUUAGCAGAAGAUGAUGAAGAUACUGAACAAAAAUCAGGAAGCAUUAGCCAAAGCAAUUACAAGCAUUCUACUGCAGAAACUAAGGAAGAUUUCCGACCUACCGACCCAGGACACAGCCCUGGUGCUGGACAUUCUAUAGCAGAAGAUGAUGAAGAUACUGAACAAAAAUCAGUAAGCAUUAGCGGAAACAACGAUAAGCAUUCUAUUGCAGAAGCUAAGGAAGAUUUCCGACCUACCCACCCAGGACACAGCCCCGGUGCUGGACAUUCUUUAGCAGAAGAUGAUAAAGAUACUGAACAAAAAUCCGGAAGCAUUAGCCCAAGCAAAGAUAAGCAUUCUAUUGCAGAAGGUAAGGAAGAUUUCCGACCUACCGACCCAGGACACAGCCCUGGUGUUGGACAUUCUAUAGCAGAAGAUGAUGAAUAUGCUGAACAAAAAUCAUUAAGCAUUAGCCCAAGCAAUGAUAAGCAUUCGACUGCAGAAGGUAAGGAAGAUUUCCGACCUACCAACCCAGGACACAGCCCGGGAGCUGGUCAUGCUUUCCCAAGCAAAAUUUCAGAACCACAUGCCUAGACAUGUAAAUGCCAUCACAGGUACAUUGAUUUAGGUAUAUUUCCUCAAUCUCCCAAAUUGUAAUAAUUGUGUCAGAUGGAAGGAUCUGUUAUUGUUAUGGAUUUGCAAUAUUCACGUAGGACUUGCAUGAUUCCUAGGUCUAAAGACAGAGAUUGGGAUGUAACUAUAAAAAAAUAAUUAUCCCGAAGCAAUCUGGUUUGAUGUUUGUAACUAGUUAUUUAAUCAUGUCCAUGUCACUAUUUCAUGUACUAUACAUUACUCUUUGCAAUGUCUUCUUUCAUCCAUCUUAGUAAUAAAUUGUUUCUGAUAUUUCAAAAAAAAAAAAAAAAAGACAGCGACAGCGCCCGUAUGGCGCAUUUAGCCGACCUUUUAAUCUUAAUUACUUGCAGAGCUUAAAUAUUCUACUUCAUUCAACUGAAAUCUCUCUCUUCCUCCAGUGGUCCUGCAUAUGUUCAUUACUUUUAGGUCAAGAUAUAUUAAGGAGGACCAUCAAAUAAAGCUUUAACUUCCAUUUCGGGCAAGAACAGUCAUGAUAAACAAAAGAUUUACGUAUAAUUUAAUAUACAAUUACGGUCAUAUCUCAUUUAUUACAAUUAUAAAUAUAAUGGAUAAAAUAAUUAUAGUCACAUUCAUGGCAGUCAUGAAUUUUUUUAACAUUUUCAUAAUUUUUCACAAAAUGAAGUAAAAGAAUAAUUUGAUUAUAAUAAUAUUUAUUUAUGAUAUUUAAAAUAAUGUAAGAUAUUUUAAUCUUACAUUUAUAGGUUAAAAUAAUAUUUUCAUAUCUUUUAAUUAUAACUUAGAAUCAAUACUUAUUUAAAAUAUAUAUUUUCAAUAUAUCUAUGAAUUUUAUAGAUAUAAAUGUUAUGAAUACAUAUGAUGGACAAAAUAUCUUAUUUUGAAAUAAAUGAAGGACAAAAUAUUAUUUAUGCUGUUAGCUCAUAAAUUAAUUUAAUUAAAAAAUAAUAUUAUAUAAAUUUUUAUAAUAUAUAUGAUCAUCGGGAGGACGAUUAAAAUUUAAUUGUUUAAACAUGGAUACAUAUACGUUCUCAUUAAAUCAAAUUCAAAGCUAAUAUUUUAAUAACUAAUUAAGCAAAAUAAGUAAUAGUUAGUGACCUAAUUUUUGUCAACUAUUAAAAAAUAUAAUUAAUAAUAACAUUAGUAACACAAAAAUUAUAUAAUAUAAAAUUAAUUCUUUCAAAUAAUGGCAGACAUGUAAAACUCAUAAAAAAUGAACCCACUAAUUAACCACACAGAAAGAAAAGGUUUGAUUAAAAGCCCAAUUAUAAUAAAAAAGAAGUUAGCUCAAAAAGAGGGCCCAACUAUAUGUAUUCUUGUAGGCUUUUUUAUUUGGUUCAACUCUAUUGGCUUUGUGGGUGACACUGCUCAUUGAAUCUACCAUUUUGAUUAGAUGCCACACGUGACACUGUCCUUUCAAAAUCCCGACUUGAUUCUUUUCUUCACUGUUUCUGCUGUCUUUAUCACACCUUUUUUCCCAUCCCACAACAAAGCCACCAUGGCUCGACCCAACCAACCCGUCCUGCUUCUCAAAUCCUCACGGUCGCCCUCAAGCCGAUUUUUUACUCUAAGCUUUUAUCUAUGUCUUUCAAGUCUCAAGUGUGGAGAAGAUGGCAUGACACUCAACUUCAGGCCACUGGCCACGGUAGCUCUAAGAGAGCUCUACUUUUUUUUUUUGGGUUUUCUAGUUUGAUGUUUGAUUUGAAAAGAAAAGCACAAAUAAUGAUUUUAGCGUUCGUUAUGAUCGUAAUUUUCUAUUAUAUGAUUAUUUGUGAACAUAAUAUACUAUACGUAUGAAUGACAAUUCAAAUCUCUAUUGCGAUAAAUAAUAGUGACGAAAGAUGGUGCUAUCAUUAAAUAGCGACAACCAUAUUGUGUGCAGAUAUUAUUUAAAUUUAUAUAAUCUUAUUAAUUAAUGAGAUAAAUAAAAUAAUAUUAUAUUAUUAACAAGUAAAUUUUAAAAAAAUAUUAAUUUAUAUAAAUUUAUCUUAAAAUUAAUAUUUAUUUAUUAAUGAUAUAAUAUUACCUAAUUGAUAAGAGUGCACCAAAUAUAAUCACAUAAACAAAUAUAGGUUAAGAUACUCCAAAUAAAAAUAUGAAAUCUAGUACUUGAGAAUACAAUAGUAUUAUUUUUCUGUCUCAUAAUAUUUGUUUUUAAUUGACUUUUUAAAUAAAAUAAGAUCUAUUUUGGUCAUUAUUUUUAAUAAAAUCAUAAAAUUAAAAAUUAAAAAUAAAAUUUAUAAAGCUUGAAUUUCAAAAAUUUCAAAACAUGAACUUAGAAAAUGUAACCCAGGAAUAAGAAAUGGAUAAGAAAUGAUUCCACUAGGAAGAGCCAACUAAGCCCCUAUUUUUAUUAUUCUAAGUAGAUAGAGGAAUCUUGAAUAUAUAUAAAAAUGGAUCAAAGAGAGUGGCCUAAGGCGACCUAGUGCACAUGAAUAUAGUAAAUAUAAUAUAUAUAUAUAUAUAUAUAUAUAUAUCAAGGGGAGGGAUUAGUAAAUUUUUCAUUUUUGUUGACAAAACAGAUUACAGCAAAUUGGUAAGGGCUCUGUUUUUUUGUCGUUAACCAAGAUGUCCAGUCCAAACCCUAAAUUAACUUUUACCUUUAAGCGCAUGCGUAGCAACUGGUUUAGGCAGGAACCAAAAACAAAAAGCACUGGUUUCGAAAAGUAUGUUUAUUUUAAUACAUGGAAGGAAGCCGCAAAGGGAAGAUUCCCAUGGAAUCUUGAGUUUUAACCGUUCAUUUGCAAAGAUUCCUCUAACUUUGAGCAAAGAAAUAAGUAAUAUAUGUUGUCGUCCUUAAUCCCUUUUGGCCUAAUUUGGGACAUCUGACAAGUUGUAUGUCAGAAGACAAAUGGAAUCCCGAGGCCCUGGCCCUGCCUGUAAGGAGAUCAACACAAAACCUUCAAUAAACAACCAAAAACUUCUCCAUGUGCGACCCUUUGUACAUUCAAGAUUACCAUCAAUAAAGAAUCACCGAUUAAAUUUGAAUACAAAUUCACUUACAUCGAGAUGAAUAAAUUUAUCGGUUGAGGAAAAUUUUGGUAAAAUAAUAUUUGUAAUUAAUGGUUUAGAAUGGUAUAUAUAUGUGUGUGUCUUCUAAGUUGUGAAAGUUGACAUGUUGUCUCACCUCUUGGAAAGCCCACUGAGAAGGGCCGCGGACAAACAAGAAACAAAUUGCUGCCCAAACCAUUUUUAAUUUUAUUUUUCAUUUACAUACAUAUACUUGUGUUAGGUUCGUGAUCUAGGUUUUGACAAUGGAAUCUUCCUUCGUACUUGGAACUUCAUAACCACAUGCGGCACACUUCGCCCCUUCUUAAUUUUUGGCUUUGUGUGUCUGUGUUUGUUUGUUUGUAUUUUUUUUUUUUUCAUCUACCUAACUUUUUAUGCUUUAUAAAUAGCGAGGAUAUAAGAUAGGAUCCAAUCAUAGCUUCCUUAUUUCGUCUUAGUCAGGGAUUUAAAUAAUGAUCGAAGUCACGUUUUCGAUCGUGUUUUUAAAUAUAACGAAGAUAAUUGCAGUCAUUACAGUCAUCACGGUCGUGAAUUUUUUUUUUACAUAAUUUAUUAUAAAAUAUAAUAAUUAUAAUUAUAAUUAUAAUUAUAAAAAUUAUUAUUCAAUGAUUUUAAAAAUAAUUUAUAACACUCUAUAUUUUUUAUUUUCUAAAAAAAUUAUUUACAAUUUUAUUUAGAUUAUAAAAAAGUAUUCAUAUUUGGUUUAUCCAUAAAAUUUUUCUUGGUCAAGUUCAUAUUCAAUAUUAAUUCUAGACAAAUCAAAUAUUAAUAAAACAUAAUAUGUUAAAUACCAAUCAUUUAAUUUAAUAAAAUUACAAACUUAAAAAUAUAAUAAAUUUAAAUUCCAUCAACUACAAUUAUUGAUAUAUAUUUCAAAUUUAUCACAUGGUAGAAUGACGAGAAGGAUCAGAUUCUUUAUCUUUACUUUGAGAGCCAAGUUAACUCCAUCUCCAUCCUUGAGAUCUUUGUUCUUGAUACAUUUGAGGUGGAUGAUAUAUUUGAGGAUGAUACAUUUGUGGUGGAGGGUAUAUUUGUGGUAACUAAUACAUUUGAGGUGGAUGAUAUAUUUGAGGAGGUGAUACAUUUGAGGUGGAUAAUAACCAUAUGGAGGUGGAUAACCAUGAGGAGGUUGAAAAUUAUGUUGUUCUGGUGGAUAGUAAUGUCUUUGAGUACUAGCAAAUGAUUCACUAUACUCAAAGUUACUAGAAUUUGAUCUCUCACCUGAAGAUGAAAAACCUCUAGAAAUUUCAUAGUGGUGCUUCUUCGCUUUUCUUUUUGAUCGAGUCGUACAUGCAUUUUGACCCUCACUAGAUUCAGCAAAUGGAUUUCCUCCGUAUUCUGCCAUAUUAAUGAAAAGUCCACUAGUAACAGCAAGCCCAAAUUCUCCUCUAAAUGGGCUGUAAGGUAGAUUUGCAUCCAUAUUAUCACAAAAAUUCACACCAUCACCAUCACCAUCAUCAUCUGGACUUAAACCACCACCAUCAUCACUCUGACUUGGUGUUGGACUUGAACUUGAAUGAGACACAUUCCUUUCUAGAGAUUGACGUGAUUGUUCAACAAUCAUUUCAUUAUCAGAAUUAUCUACAGGCAAUCAAUAAGAGUUUUGACCAUCUAAUAAAGGAUUUUCUUUCUCUUGCAGCCAUUCUGUUAGUGGAUCAUCAUCUUCAAAAAUAUUGUCAAGGCUAAUAGGAUUAAAAUUAUUAUUUAUUUCAUCAAUGCUCAUUCUUUUUUUAUGUCUCAUCCUCAACCUCAUGUUAUAAUAGGUAUAUACAAGUUUCUGGAGUCUUUCAAACUUCAAUCUGUUUCUUGUUUUGGUGUGAAUAUAGCUAAAUGUGCUCCAAUUACGUUCACAAUUGGAUGCAGAUGUUGUUUGACUAUGCACUUAGAUUUCUAGUUUUUGUAAUUCAGGAACACAAGUGCCAUAUAUCAUCCACCACUCAGCUGUAUAAAAUUAUUUAAAUUAAAUUUCAAUGGGCUAUACAAUUAAAUAAUAUAAAUAAAUUAUAAUUAUUUAACUUACUAUUUACUUGGAUUCAUUUGCUUUCAAGCUUUUUGUGCUUGUGGACUACCAAAUGUUUCAUGCUUGUCUCGAAAUAAUAACAACUACAUCGAUUGAAAAUACAAUAAUAAAUGAAUAAAUAAAAAAUAAUUUAAUUUUUAAUACAUAAAAUAAAUGUUAAAGUUAUACAAUAGUAUUAAAUACGAACCUGAUUAAUCAUUCUGAUUUGAGUAUCUAUCGAAGGUUUUGAUCUUUCAAUAAUUGUUUUUAUACCUUCUAAUGUUUUUUUAAAUACAUUUGCAGAAUGUUUCACUCCAAAUUGAAAUUGUGGAUUUAGAUAGUAACCUAAACAUAAUUUAUAACAAUAUUAUAUUAAAGUAAUAAAAAAUAAAUAUAUAAGCAAUUUAAGUAUAAAAAAUAAACAUAUUUUUUAAAUACCAUCUAUAUUCUUGGUUUACUUACUAGCUGAAUGCAAGUCAGAGUGCAUGAAACUCCAUCUAUUAUUAAUAAUUUUUUCAUAUUCAGCAGAAUAACGAUAAGUUUGUUGAAUUGCUUCUUUAGCUUUAUCUAUAGCCUCGUAAAUAAAGCCCAUUGUUGGUUUUUCAUCACCAUCCACAAGGCGCAACACUUUUAUCAAAUGCUCAUAAACUUCUAUUAUAUCACCUGUUUUUUUUUUUUUUAAUUUUUCCCAAAAUGAUUUUUUUGACUUUAUAAACAGGUCCUGAUUUUUGUUGUCUCCAUUUUGAAUCUUUAAAUUCCUAUAUAUUCAUCAAUAAAUUUUUAGAGUAAUAUAUUUUAAAUUAAUAUUUUAAAAUAAUAAUAUCAUAAAAAGAUGUUAGAUUUAAAUAGUUGUACUAAUUAUUAAGUACUAACCUUUGAAUUGAACAUCUCUUUCAAACUUUGCUUUUGCCUCAUUAUUUUUUCUAAUUUUAUGAAAUGAGUGGCAAAUUGGGUAAGAGCAGGACGAAGUAUUUGCUUUCCUUGUGUAUAUUUCUUCAUCAAAUUAACAAUUCAAAUGUGAUUGUAUAGAAAACAAGUCACUUUCUUUGCAUCAUCCAAAACCUUUGCCACAUUUUUUUUCUCCCAAUAUCUUCAAGGCACAAGUCCAAACAAUGAGCUGAACAUGUUGUCCAAUACAAAUAUUUUCUUUUCUCCAUUAGUCUUUUUUUUUGCGACCUUAAGUGCUACCUCGUUAUCAGUGACUAUUUGACCAAUGUAUUUUUCUUCAAUUUCUUUCACAACUUCAUCUAAUAAUCUGUAGUAAAAGUUUGUAUCUCUAAUAUGAACACUUAAAACAUUUACAGAUUUUCAAAAAAUAGUCUCUUUACUACAGUAAACAAGGAAAUUAAUGAUAUGCAUUUGAUUCAAACUAUUGGUCCAACCAUCACACAUCAAAGUGACACCCAAUUCAUUCCAAUAAGCUUUUAAUCCAUUAACACAUUCAUUAACUUAUUGAUACUUAGAUUCUAAAUACACAUCUGAGACCUCAUAAGGUGUUGGAAGUCUUACAUGUUGGCCAACUUUUUCUGUCAUAAAAAUCAAAUUAUGCAACUAUGAGGAAUUUGCUAAUUGAAAAGAAAGUCGAUCAUAUAUAAAAAAUUUUGAUACUGAUUCACCCAUUUUUCUUCUUAAUGUCUUUAGAAAUGAAUCACUUACUUUUAGUUGUCUUGAACUUUUACUUUUAACCAAUUCAGGAGCAGCUCUCUUUAAUGAAAAUUCAGACUCAUUUGGAGUUGAUUUUUUUGUUUUUUCUUCAAAAUAUUCAGCAACUGAACCAUGAAAGCUUCGUAGUUCUUCAUAUAUGUUACUCCAGCCACUAGUUCUUUGUCUGAAUUCUUGUCUUCUGUGUCACUCAUUUUGUAAUUGGAUACUAUCUCGCACGGCUUGUCUAGUAGCAAUGUCUUUAUCAAUAAAUCUUUCAUAAUCAUCUUCCCCUCUUAACUGAGAUAAAAAUUUAUUUUUUCUCCUUUUGUUGUCAGUUUUUUUUUAUUUGCUUUCUUGAAAGAGUUUCAUCAUACUUUCUCUUAUUAUACCUAUUAAUAAUAUAAUUAAAAAAAAAGAGAAAAUUAGUAGCACAUGCUUAUGUAAUUUUAUAAUUUUUAUUAAGAAAUUAACAAUAAUAUUUUCAAAGAAAUUAAAAAAACAUAACAUACCAGUAACGUUGGGGCAUGAUGCAACAUUGUCAGUUUUAUGAGCAAUGUAUUCUUUGAAAUGUGUUAUUCCUCCUUUUACAACUUUAUCACAAAGUUUACAUGAAACAUUUUCUCUUGUAUUUGGCAUAGGUAUUCUAAAAUGCCAACCUAUAUCAUCACUCAGCGUGUCUUCUACUCCUUUACUCGGGAACUCUUCACGUGGUGCCAUACUUACUAUUUUGUAUAAAAACAAAAAAACUUAUAUUUAAAAAUAUUAAUAUUAUUUAUUACAUCAUUAAAAAUUGAUUUUUCGUUAAAUUUUUUAAUUUUUAGUUUUUAAUCUUAAGAAUAUUAUUAAAUAACUUAAUCUUUUUGAUGCACUAAUUGAUAUUAAUUUUUUUAUCAUAAAUAACUUAAUCUUUUUGAUGCACUAAUUGAUAUUAAUUUUUUUAUCAUAAAUAACUUCAAAUAAUUAUAUAUGUCGUAACGUCUAGAUCCGGGGAUCUAUCGCUAGACAUUGACUUUCAGGGAGUCGCCACCAAUCUUUUUUAUCUAGGUGUAAUUGGCCACCUAAAGAAUCUGUCCUUUCAGGGAACACCUAAGUUUAAGGGUCCCUAGAAGAAUAGGUUCAGGUCUGCUAACCAGAACAGGGUUCGGGAGUUCGGUUACGUGUGAGGAAGGUUAUAGCACCUUCACAGCGCCCAUCAAAAGAUGGUACCAGCUUGAAUUUGUGUUAUCCAAAAGCCUUAAAAUUUUACCAAGUAAUUAAUUAUUGGAAACUUUUCUCAAUUGACUCUAAUACUUUUAGCAGAAAAUUGAGAAAAUUCCCUCACCUCAAGAGUAUGCAAGAAAAACUACUAUUUCACUUACAGAGGCUCCGUCGUCGGAUUAUUUAAAGAAAAAAACAAAAUCAAAAUUAAGAUAGAAAGGAAGGAAAGAAUGAUUUUUUUUUAGGGAAAAUUGAUACUUUCAACUUUUCCCCAAAAAUAUUUUUUGGAAAUUUCGAUUUUCAAGGAAAAUUGAUACUUUCAACUUUUCCUCAAAAACCACUUUUUUGAAAAUUUAUUUCUAAGGAAAAUUGAUACUUUCAACUUUUCCCCAAAAAUAUUUUUUUUGAAAUUUUGAUUUUCAAGGAAAAUUGAUACUUUCAACUUUUCCCCAAAAAUACUUUUUUUUUGGAAAUUUAUUUUCUUUUAAGAAAAAUUGAUACUUUCAACUUUUCCCUAAAAAUAUUUUUUUUUGGAAAUUUAUUUCUAAGGAAAAUUGAUACUUUCAAUUUCUCCCUAAAAAUAUUUUUUGAAAAUUUAUUCUUAAGGAAAAUUGAUACUUUCAACUUUUCCCUAAAAAUAUUUUUUUUUUGAAAUUUUUUUCUGAGGAAAAUUGAUACUUUCAACUUUUCCCCAAAAAUAUUUUUUGGAAAUUUAUUUCUAAGGAAAAUUGAUACUUUCAACUUUUCCCUAAAAAUAUUUUAUUUUGGAAAUUUAUUUUUCUUUUAAGGAAAAUUGAUACUUUCAACUUUUCCCCAAAAAUAUUUUUUGGAAAUUUAUUUCUAAGAAAAAUUGAUACUUUCAACUUUUCCCUAAAAAUAUAUUUUUUUAGAUUUUUUUUAUUUUUAUUUAAAGAAAAUAAAAUAAUAAAAAAUAAAUAAAAAGAAUAUUACAUAAACCUAAUCUAAUAAAUAAAAAAUAAAAAAUAAAAUAAACAAAUAAACAAAGAAAUAAAAAAAAAUUCAAAAAAAAAAAAACCUGGAGCGGCUCGGAUCGCGGCUCGGCUCAAGGAAGGGAAAACGGCUCGGGGGAGCGGCUUGGCGGCUUGGCUCGGCUCGGAGUGGGCUAACACGCGCGGGUCAAAAAGCGGGUCGACGCCCGGGUCGGGUCGGGUUCGACAAAACGCGCGGAUCCUCUGGGUUACUUAAGGCCAAAACGACGUCGUUUUGAGAGGGUAUAAAAGGCACCUUCCUCCGUUUUUCGACAGAACGCUCCUCCCCCUCUCUCUCUUCUUCCUUUUUCUCUCCCUUCUCUCUAGAAACUGAAGAACACCGGUGCCGGAUUCUGGAAAUUUUCGCCGAAAUCUGGAAAUUUCACCGGAAGUUGGCCGGAAUAUCGCCGGUUUCUGGGAUUCUUCGCCGGAAACUGGACUGGUCGCCGGAAACUUCAAUGUUCGCCGAAAUUGUUGCCGGAAAAUUCAAAUUUCGUCGGAAUUUUCGUCGGAUUCUGGAAAUUUCCCAAAAAUUUCCAGAAAAAAAUUUUUGCCAAAAAUUUCUAAAAAUUUUUCCUCACUCCCAGAACACUCCUAAACUUUUCUUAGCUUCCUAUACGCCUCCUUUUCUCUCAAAUCAAUAGCUUUGCUUACUGUUUUCUGUGUCCUCAGCAUUGUUCCAGAGGGUCCCUUUUAUAGGGGUUGAUCAGGAGUUCCUGAUCAAUCCCAAUUCCUCUUUGGACGGGAAUUCAGUCUUUGAAUCCAACUGGACUCUUCUGAUUGAAUUCCCCUCCAGAGUGGGAUUCUUCAACUUUGAAUCUUACCCAUCCAGAAUUAAAAUCAAAAUAAAUAAAAAAUACUAGAUAAUCAAAAGAUAUGAUAGUAUAAAAAAAAAUAAUAUCAGAUAAUUCGGAAAAAAAAAAUCAGAUAAAAUUAACAGAUAAUAAAAAAAUAACAUAAGAUAAACCCAAAAAUAUAUUACAAAAAAAAAAGAUAAUAAUAAUAAUAAAUAUAUAACUAUAUAUAUACAAUACAUAUAAAUCUAAUCUAAAUAAAAAUAAAUACACAAAGAUAUACAUAAUAAUAAUAAUAAUGAAAUACAUAAAAUACCAAAGAAGAAAAAGAAAAAAAAAAUACAGGAUUGAAAUGGGCCUUACCCCUUUGGGCCAGGCCCAAUUGAUCUGGGCCAGGCCCAAUUGAUCUGGGCCCGGACCCAAUUGGGUGUCUACAAUAUAAUAAAUACAAUCUUCAAUAAUUACACAAAAAUAAUAAGAAUUAAUCUAAUAUCAAAAGAAUUGACAACAAUAUAAAUAUCAAAACAACAAAAAAAAUUAUUAAAUUUCAUAUACAAAAUUAUAAAUUAAUAUCUAGCACAAUCAAAAUAUAAUAUUUAAUUUUAAUUAAUUUUUGUCUAACUUAUAUAAAAAAUUCAUCAAUAAUUUUCAUCUACAAUCUCUAUGUAUAUCAUAUUAAAUUAUUAAUCUCUUAUUUUUUUAAUCUUCAAUCCCUCUAAUUAGAUUUUAUCUAAAAAAAUUUUCAAAAAUUAAAAAUUUUCAAACUUAUAUUUUAAUAAAAUUUUCAAACCUAUAUUUUUUAAUUUUUAGUUUUUAAUCUUAAUAAGAGUAAUAGAUCAUAAAAUGCUAAAUUUGUUAAGUAAUUUAAUUUUUUUGAUACACUAAUUGAUAUAAAAUUUUUUUAUCACAAACAACUUUUAAUAAUUAUAUAAUAACACAAUAUUCAAUAAUUACACAAAAAUAACAAGAAUUAAUAUAAUAUCAAAAGAAUUGACAAUAAUAUAAAUAUCAAAACAACAAAAAAAAUUAAAAUUCAUAUACAAAAUUAUAAAUUAAUAUAUAACACAAUCAAUAUAUAAUAUUUAAUUUUAAUUAUUUUUCAUCUAACUUAUACAAAAAAAUUUAUCAAAAAAUUUCAUUUAAAAUCUCUAUAUAUUAUAUUAAAUUAUUAAUCUUUUUUUUAAUUAUAAAUUUUCAAAACCACUAAUUAAAUUUUAUCUAAAAAAUUUUCAAAAAUUAAUUACAAAAUUAAAUAAAAAAAUUCAAUCUCACCCUCCAAACACCCUAACACACCCAAUCCCUUCCCACCUUUCCCCCAACGCCUCACCACACCCAAUCCUCCCACCCCAUCCAAUCUCUCCCCACGUGCCUAAUAUCUCAAAUUUGUUUAAUUCUUUUUAGCAAACGGCAGACCUUUCUAAAAACGCUACUUUCUUCUGUUCAUCUUCUUCUUCGUGUUGCCUUCUUUGGCUUUCCAAAAAUUUUUUCUUUAUUUCUUUUUUUUUCAUCUCUCAUUUUCUCUCACAUCCAUUUAUUACUAUCACUUGCUGACUUGCCUAGUAUCUACAGAUAUCUCGUUCGUCUUUCAAACUCUCACAAGCAUAACAGAUCAUUUUACAAAAAUUUUACAAAAAAAAAGGUAAUUUAACUUUCUUUUUUUACCUUAUUUGAUCUUGAAUGUUGAUUGAAAACUUGAGGCUGAUUUGAAUUUGAAUGUCGAAAAUGUUGAUUGAAUGGUUGAAAGUUGAAACUUGAAAUAAUUGAUAUGUUUUCUAGCUCGUUUUAAAAUUUAUUUUGAUGAUAAAGAUCAGAGAUUGUGAGCUUUAUUUUUUUAUUUGGCUUUUACUUUUACUUUUGCAGGUUUAUUGUUUUAUUCUGCAGACUUAAAAUUUUAUUUUUUUGUUAGAACUAUUAGAUCCGUGAAUAGAAAAACGGAUUAGCGAUAAUAAUGGUCCGUUAUUGCUGCUAUUGCCCGUUACGCCAUUAUUUUACGGUUGUUAUUCUCUAUUUUUGCUGUGAAUGAAUUUUUCAACCGUUUUUUAUCUACUAACGGUGGCGGAAGGCGGCGCUACCGCAAUUUUGCGGCCACUAUUCCGCUAUCAAACCGUUAUUUGAAUUUCUGGUCCUAGUUUAAUUCACAAGAUUAGUCCUCUAAAACUCUAAUAAAAUUCUGUGAUUUCAGCAUUAAUUUUUGCUAUGGAAAAUGCGAGAUGUAAUUGUUUGUUUUUUCUACUAAUAAUACUUGUUUUGUCCCCCAUGAACUACUUUUCUUAGCCGAGGGACAAAGCUUGGAACUGAAGAAGAAUUUAGAGAACGUGAAGGUAAUGUUGAGUCCUGAUGGGAAGAUCAACAUUAAUAUUGCAGGACUCGCCGUGAAGAAUGUAGCUAUCCCAAGCCCCAUGCACCGCGUUUUUAGGUCCUUAGAAGAAAACGCAGACAAUUUUUGACCCACAACCCCUAGACAUAGCCCUGGCGUCGGCCAUUAAUCCAUUCACCACUAACAUAUAUUGUAUUUGUUAUAGGCUUGUCACCGAUAUUGUAGGCAAUUUGGUAUUGUUUUCAGUGUCUUUUAUCAUUGCUUAUCUGCUUGUACUUGUAUCGCUACUUCUAACAAAAAGUUUGCAAUUAAUUAAUUUUGGCCUCCCUCUAUAUGAAGAAAGUUAGCACUGAAUUAAGCAGAAUAAUGAGUUGUUAGCUCUGUAGUGUUGAAGCCAUCUCUAAAACUGAGUGGUUCGAGUUUAAAUCAUAACUUUUGCAGAUUGAAUGAAAUGAUAGGGUGUAAUAAGCAACUUAGUUAAGGAUGUGAAAUCUUUGACAAAAAAAGCUAUAAGCGUUCCUAUUUUCAACCAAAUUAAUUAAGCACCACUCUCCAAUCAUCUCAACCUGGUAAAAUUAAUCUAAACAUAUAAAAGUAAUUUAUUUCAAAAAGAAAAGUUAAUUAUGAAAAUAAAAUGACCCUUCAACUUAUUGUAGAACUGAGAACGCGCGGAAGGAAAAAAAGUUGGUGAUGCAGUUGCAUGAACCAUGCAUGAUUAUUUCCCUGACAGCUUUGUAAGCUAAUUAAGCGCUGUAAAAGUCUUCGAUCUAUCUCCAUGACCGUGUAUAAAGGGAUAUUGGACAAGUACUGCUGGCCAAAUCCGGUUUUAUAAUUGCUCCCUUGUACUCAGUUCACAUUCAACUUAAAUUGCUUAUGGCAUUUUCCUUGAUUGAUGCUUGGGAGUUGGGACUACGCUUGACUUUAAGAGUUUGGGGCUUCACAUGCUUUUAAAGCUCUCUUUCUUUAUUUUCAGCCUCUCAAAAAACUCUUACAAUGUCUAGGGUUUUACAAUAUCAUAAAGAAAGAGAAAGGAAGAGAGUUUCAACAAGAAUGGCAAGUAGAGUUAGUUCUUUUCCAUUUUAGUCAAGAUGAAGGGUAUGAUGGAAAGAAAUUAAAGCUAAAUGUGAAGAAAUAAUUUUAUUUUAUUUAACUAGAUAAAAAUUCACUGCUAUAUUAUUUACUUUAACAAAUUAAUGCACUUUACACAACAUGAUUAAUCAACACCCAGUUUUUUGUCUAUGAAAAAGAUGUUAUAUUGCAUACUAAGUCGGCAAACUGGCAAUUACCCUUUAUAAGCUAGGGAGAUGCCGUCCUGUUAAGUUUUUCUAUAUGGUAGAAUACUUUUUUUUUUUCCUUUGACUGCAAGGAAAUUUUUGCUCUUCGUAGCUAAUGAUCACGUUGGGGUCGAGCCAUACCUUUUUAAAAUUUUGAAUUACAGCAAAAAGAUCUAUUAGACUUAGGUCUCCGGUUGUAAAGUUGAUUAGUCCCGCAGACUUGAACAAUAUAAAGGUCUAAACUGAAAGAACCUGCCAAAUAAACAGUGGUGUUGUUUAGUGGAAGUGUUAGUAGGCAGGCGCAUGAGAGGAAUAGGAAUAAGGUUAAGUACAAAUCUCUCUCCCAUUUUUAUUAUCAUGGCAAGUGCAACCUUUGAGCCCUUUGAAUGGUACGACGUAACAUUAUUAUUAUAAUAGUAAAAAUUUGCAGCAGUUACAAGUGGAAAUAGUUCUCAUAUUGAGAGCAAAUUAGUAUAAAUAUCAUGUGUUCCUUGUAUUUUAUUUUUUAUUUGCAUUUGCGAAUUAAUGUUCCUAAAAAUUAAAGCAAAGAAUGGAAAAUAAAUAAAACAGUAGAUUGGGUUUUGGUCCUCACUUGCACUAAGAAAGAGUGGUUGAUAAAUGGUAAGUUAGUAAUUUGAAGGUUAAAGCCUAAAGGCAAUAAUAUAUCACCAUAAUUUGACCCUCACUUGGUUUAAUAUUAAUGUUAACGACAAAGAUACACCCUUUAAUUUAAUCUUCAAAAGGAAUUGCUUUAAUUGAAGGGUUUUGGUAUGUUAUGUGAAAUGGUGCUGAUCGAUAGAUUUUUGUAUUUAGGUUUUCUCGCACGAAAGACAAUGCCUUGUGGUCUUAUGCCAUCAGCAUAUACAUAUUCCUGUUUAACCAACUUUGAUUCUCCUUUUGUGAAAACUAGUUUUCAAGCCAUUGUCCCAAAAAAUCUUUCAGUUUAUUCAAGUGGAAUCAUGGUGUCCCAACCAUAUAAUAAUGUCUAGGGAUUAUAUAUAUAUAUAUAUAUAUAUAUCAAGUAAUCUCCCCUAACUCAACUUUAAUUCAAAUCUCUCUAAAUUAUAGACAAUCAAUAAAAUUCAAUCCCAACUUUAAAAAUCAUUUAAUUUGUUUGAAGAGAGUUGAGGUCCAAGAUUCAAAUAGUUUGUACUCUCCCAUAUACUUUUUCUUGUACGUAAAGAAUUAAUAAUAAUUAUGAUAAUUAUAAAAGUAAGAAUUUAGAUCUAUUGAUAUAUAUAAUAAUUUAUUUAAAUUUAAGAAACGGCAACUGAUAGAUUUAAAAUUUAAAUUUUAAUAUAUGUAUUUUUUUUUUAUUUCCAAAAGUGGAGGGCCAAGACUUGUAAAUUUUAUAUUCACCCCCAAAAUCACGAGAAAGGGGGUGAGAUGCAUUUUAACUUGGGCUUUGGAGUCCAAGGGCACAAUUCUAGUAGACAUUUGAGGUUUGGGAGCAGAGGAUCAUAUUGGUUUAAGCUGGUUUCCGUAUGUUUUCCAUUUUUUCUAACUGGGGUUCUGUUGGGCCUAACAGAGUUUACAUAUUUCAAAAAUACUCGAUGUCCAAUCUAAGCCACAUGCCCAUGGAAGAAAAUAGUUGAAAAAGACAUUACUCCUUAAGAAAGUUUUAACUGUACGAAGUAGUCAUGUAAUUGUGAUUCUUUUGCUCGUUGUCGAUCAGCCGCAUGACAUGCACGUCUGCAUAAAGGUUUGAACGUUAUUUUCACGACUUAAGUGGAAAAGUGGGACCCAACAAAUUAUCCAUAGAAAUAUAAAAUUUCAUAAACUGAGUAAAUAAUUUAUCAUCUAUUUUCUAAUUCGUUUAACUUUAUAGUUAAAAUUUUAAACUCUUUCAUAAAAUUUUAAUUGCAUUUAUGUGAUUGUUUUAUUGAAAAAAUUCAUAAAAAUCAAUCCAAAUAUAAAAAAUAAAAAUUACUUGUGUUUAAAAUAAAAAAUAAAAUUCAUCAUAAGGAAAACAAUUUUGAAACAUUUUUUUUAAAAAAAAGCAGAGCUGUAUAUUCGAUGAGAAGAGCAGAAUUGUACAUAUUUAUAUAUGUUUAGUAAAAAUGAAUAACAAAAUAGAAGGAAAAGGAAAUUUUUUAGAAAAGAUUGUUAUUUUUUUAUGUUUAAUGUGAAAAAUGAAAAAUAAAAAGAGAAAAAGAUUGAAUAUCAUUGUAAAAAAAAAUUCUUAAAUAAAAGAAUAUUUUCUUUGCACAAAAAAAAAAAAGAAUGUUUUCUUCUCAAUUUAAAAAAAAAAGAUUUGAAAGAAAAAAUAAUGCAACUUUAUUCAAUUUUCUUGCCUCCUAUUUCCCUCCAACCAAACAAAAAUUAUAAAUUAAAAGAAUUAUUUUCCCUUCGCUCUCUUUUUUUCCCCCUCUUACAAAACAUAAUGUAAGCCUUUUCCAUUCUCUUUUCUUCGUACAAACAUAAUGUAAACCCUUUUCUUCCUCAUCUUUCCCUCCUACCAAACAUAAUGUAAGCAGUUGAUGACCAAACAAAAGAGCAAUUCCGAAGCUACAAACAUAUCUAAUAUAUAUAUAUAUAUAUAUAUAUAUAUAUGCACAAAGAAAUUUAUCACAUAGGCGUUUAUGUGGACAGCUCUUUUAAAUGAUAUAUAGGAUAGUUUUUUAAAAGAAUAAGAUAAUUUUUUUUAAUUAUAAAUUAGAUAAUUUUAAAUUUAUUCAAAUAUUCAAAUUAUUCAAAUUAUAAUUGAAAAUCAAAUCAAUUUAGAAAUAUGUAUUUUAAAAUUAAAAAUAUAAAUAUGGAUUUUAUUUUUUUAAUAAAUAAUUUUCGUUGUUUACCAAAUAACCUUAUUUAAUAAUUUAUUGAAUUAUCAAAAAUUUUCAAACUUGUGUAAAAAUUACAAAGAUCAAGUUUACCCAAAUAUUUCAACAAUCUUUUUUAUUUUGAUUUAAGAAAUUAUCUUUUUAAAAAAUUUACAUAAAACAUUAAAAAUUCAAACAAUUUUAUGUAAGAUUUUGAAAAUUUAAAAAAUUUUCAUCUUAAAUCUUUAAAUAAUAAGAUUAUGAAAAUGUUUAUAUACAUUUGAACUUUAAUUAUCAAAUUUAUAUUUCAAACAAAUGCAAAAAAUUUAAUAUUAUCUUUAUCACUUAUUAUAUCCAUUUUUAAUUUUAAAAAAUUAAUUUAAAAAUUAUCUAUUUAAUCCUAAUUGUCACCAAAAAAUUUUUCUACAAAUUUAAAACUACAAAUGUAACGUGUUAUAAAUUGAUUUUUUUAGUUUUUUGGUAAUUUUUUAAGGUAUAUUUUAUUACUAUUACAAUUUGUUUUUUUUUUUUUGUGUUUAUAAAUUUUUUAAGAUAUAUUUUAUUGUUAUUACAGUUUCAUUCUUAUGAAAAAAAUAAUAUCUUUUAAUUUAUUUUUUUCACAUAUUUUCUAACAUUCUUCAUAUUUUGUAUAAUAAUAUAGUCAAGAUUACUAAGUGAAAAUGUGUUAAUACUUCUUUUAUUAUUUAAUUUAUCAUUCAAUAAUAUAUAUUUUUAUUUUUUGAAAAAAUACAUAAUUUAUGUUUAUUUGAUAUAAUUUUACAUGUGUAUAAGUAUUAUUGUAAACAAAAAUAUCCAAAGAAAAGACAUAAUUUUUUUUGCUAUUUUUAAAAUGUUUAUUUUUCAAUGACAAGUCAAUAUAUUUAAAUUUUAUAUAUGUUAUGAGUUUUAAAGUUUUGAAUAUAAUUAAAAAAAUUAAUUUGUAUAUAUAUAUUCAUAUUAAAUAACUAAAAUUAUUUCGUGUAUUGCAUGAGUUAUAAUUUAGUUUUUUUAUAAAAAAUAAGGUAAUAUGAAAGAAAGAGAUGUAGAUACUGAUAUUUAAAUUUUAAAUUUGUUAAAUAUCAUUUUUAAAAAUAAAUUUAUAAAUCAAUUAAAUUACAUUCAAAUUCAAAUUAUUAGAUUUUUUAAGGCUCAAAUUAUUAAAUCUUUAAUAUAACUUAAUUUACGUCAGGGCAGGCGAGUCGCUGGUUUUAACAAAUACUUCUAUUAAAAGGAGUACAAUAUGUGUACACAUCUUCUGUCAACAAUAAAAAAAAUUGCAUAAAGAAAAAUUAACUUUGCAACUUGCUUUUUACUUUAUAGCUUCUAAAAACUUAGCUAGAGAUCAGUUCCCUUUUCAAAGCUACAAACAAAGAUAAUGCAAAAAGAGAGAGAAUGGAGUAGGGUUUCCAGUCGGAAAGCAGAUCAUCUUGUCUGAACGAAAAUGUACACAAUGUUUUAUAAACCUUAGUGUACACCAUUACUUCUCCACACAACUCUCUUAAGCAUUUAAAUAUAAAUAACUCUAAGAAAUUAUAUAUAUAUAUAUAAAAUAACUGGACCAUUAUGUUUAAUAUAUAUUUUAUAUUUAAGGUUGUAAAUUUAAUAUUUUAUCAACAAAUUACACUAUGAUUGACGCAAUGUUUAAUAAUUAAUUAAUUAACAUUGUAUUAAAUUUUCAUGAUGCUUGAUCGUAUCCUUAAUCACAAUAAUAUUGAAUACAAUAAUGUUGAUCGUUGUACUUAGGCCAUACCGAAAACUAUAAGGGUGAUUUCCAACUAUAUUACAUUAAUGGUUUCCAACUAUAUUACUUUUUAAAUGUUACUAAGAAAAAAAAGAAAGGAGACAUAUUAAAUAUUAAAUAUUAAAUUAAUGACUAAUUGCAUGGUCCAUGCAAUUGCAAACUAUUGUGAGAGUACUGUGACCAUAAGCUCCAUGAUUUGGGCGCAUGUGAAGAAAGAUGUGAAAAUUUUUACUCAAUUUAUUUUGUGUGCAUUGUCACACUAAUAAACCCUAUUUGUUAGUCUUUUGACCCCUCGUUUGCUUGCUCAGUUGCUCUCUUCUUCUAUAAAUAGCACCCAUGGGGGAGGAAGAGGCCUAUAGGCAAAGUUGCUAAUAGCUGUGUUCUUCCCUUGUUUUCCAUACUUCUACCAAGCUUUGCUUAGUUAUAUAUUGCUUGGCUAUCUUCCCUCCCCUUCUCCCACCGAUAAAUAAAUUAAUAAAAAUUCGCAUUACGGCCCAAAACAAAGUACCCGUUCUUGUUCUCCUUUUGCCUGUUUUCUUCCUGGAAAUUCAGUGCAUUUUAGGAAGGCGUUUGACGUUGGACCAAAAGCACAAUUUCCAGGAGGCCCAAACUUACGGUAGAAUCCUAGAAAAGGAAACAAGUAUUAUUCUUGGCCGCAAAAUUAACUUGCACGCAGUUGACAUUGAUAAAGGAGCUGUUGCCGACACGCAGUCUCCACCUUCACCACCAAGUGUGGUUAUAGGAGCAACCUAAGCCCGGCCACUCGAAAACAUAGACGACUUCAGGCCCAUAUCUUCCGGACCCAGACCUGGCGUCGGGCAUUCCCUUCAAAACUAGGUCAAAAAGUUUCAUGCAAGGUGCUGCAUCAGUAGUACUGCUGCAUCUCCAUUUUAAUCACUCAUUGCUAACAGAUGGUAUUUUAACAUGGUGACAGCAACUUUGAUCCUGGAAAGAAUUCAGCUUGGUUUGAUUUCUCUAUUUGACAUGUCUUAGUUUCAAUUUCAGUUUGAGGUGCCUUGGGUUUAAGUGUUGUGGGAAAAUAAUUAUUGUCUAGUCCAAGACAAAAAAAAAAUCAAUUUGUUAUCUCCCCAGUCAGUGUUUGUAAAAAUAUUAAGUCAAUGAAAAUAAUUUGUGUCAAUAAGCAAAUGAAAUUCAUGGUUUUUUAUAGCUCGCUCUAUGCCUAUUGUUGCUUUUAUUAGUACUUCAUCUGCUGUAAUUGUUAAAAUAAUUUUUAAAAAAAUUCAUCAGUCGUAUUUCUAUUCUGCUAUUACUGGCAUAUCUAUCGAAGUGAUAUAAGGUCACCAACUGCCAUUCCUCUUAUCUCUGAUUAAUAAUUUGUAGCUCAUUAUGGUUUCUAUACUAAAGGGAGAAAUAACACAAGUUAGUACUAUAUAUAUUUUAUGUUUUAAUUUCCAUUACCUAAUUGAUGUUAAAUCCCAUGAAUCAAAUGCACCUUAAUGUCACAGAGAUCAGAAAUCUUGAUCACAUCCCUAAUUAUUAAUGUAGACACCCACUUCCCAAAUCUGUUUUCUCGGUGGGAAUAAAAUAUAAUAAUAAGUAAGGGUAGAGUUUCAAUUCUAGUGAAACUUUUUCAAGACUUGAAUUUCAAAAUUGGAUAAAAAGAUCUCGUUUUUAAACCAAGGAUAUCAGAUUAGAUAGAGGGAUUUUGAUUUUUAAACCCUCAUUCAAUCUGAAACUAGCUCUAUAUAAACACCAGCAAUCACAAAAUAAAUACAUAGAGAAAGGGCGGUGAAAAAUAAGAGGCAAUCAGAAUUAAAGAUUUUGGAGUGAGUUUGCAGUAGAAAGUUUUUGGGAAGUCAAUGUUUUGAUUGGAGAAUCAAUUUCUUUUUUUGGGAUUUUUUGGAAAUUUUUUGAAAAUUUCCAGAAUCCAAUGAAUUUUUGGGCGAAAAUUUAAGUUUUUCGGCAUAUUUUUGACCAAAAAUCCAAUUUCUAACAAUAAAACUCAAAAAUCGAUUAACUUUCCGACGAUAGUCGAUGAAAAACGAUGAUCGAAAAUCACCUAUAAAGAGAGGCAAAAGAGUAGAGAGAGGAAGAGAAGAAAACUGUUUGAGGAAAAAAUGAAAUUUCAAGCCUUUUAUAUCAGCUAAAAAUGACACCGUUUCAGGGAGCUGAAAAGUGAUAGGAUCAACGUGUUUUGUCAAGAUCCGACCCGAUCCGCUGCGCACUGACCCAUCAACCCUUUCACCUAGCCGUUGUUGAGCCAUCAAGCCGAGCCGCCUCCAAGCCAUUCUAGCCUAUUUUGUUUCUAGAGCCACGUCCCUGUUGAGUCGCUCAACUAAGCCACCAAAGGUUUAUUAUUAUUAUUAUUAUUUAUUGAUUAUUAUCAUUAUUUUUUUUUCUUAUUUAUUUAUUGACUAAAUUGAGCUAAUUUACUUAUUUAAUUAAACAUCCUUAAAUCUUCAAUGAUUUUUCCUAAAUAAAAAUUCUAAAGUUUUUUUUUUAGGAAAAGUUGAAGGUAUUAAUUUUUCUUAAAAUAAAAUUUACAAAAAAAAAAGUAAAUAUUUUUGAGGAAAAGUUGAAAGUAUCAAUUUUUCUUAAAAAUAAAAAUUUCAAUUAUAAAAAAUAUUUUGAGGAAAAAUUUGAAAGUAUUAAUUUUCCUUAAAAAAGAAAUUUUGAAAAACAUUUUUGAGGAAAAAUUGAAAGUGUCAAUUUUUCUUAAAAAUAAAAUUUUCAAAAAGCAUUUUUGAGGAAAAGUUGAAAGUAUCAAUUUUUCUUGAGAAUAAAAAUAAAAUUUUUUCAAAAAAAAUAUCUUUGAGAAAAGUUAAAAAUAUCAAUUUUUCUUCAAAAUAAAAUCGUUAAAAAGGAAAUAUUUUAAAGAAAAAUUGAAAGUAUCAAUUUUCCUUGAAAUAAAAUUUUCAAAAAAGGAUUUUUUGAGAAAAAGCUGAAAUUUUUUUUAAAAAUGAAAUUUUUAAGAAAAAUAUUUUUGAGGAAAAAUUGAAAGUAUCAAUUUUUCUUGAAAAUAGAAAUGUCAAAAUGCUUUGAGGAAAAUUGAUAUUAAAAAAAUGUUGAAAGUAUCAAUUUUCCUUGAAUAAAAGCAUGGGGUUUUUUUUUUAUAUAUAUAAAAUAAUAAGAUAAAAAGACUUUUAUCAAAAGCUUAAAGCAUUAUUUCUUUUUUCUUUCAUUUUUAAAAAAAUUUUUAAAUAUUCCCACGACAGAGCCUUUGCGAGAGAAAUAGUAGUUUUCUUACAUACUCUUGAAGUGGGAGGAUUUUCUUAAUUUUUUGUCAAAAAUAUUAGAGUCAAUUAAGAAUAAUUUUCAAUAAUUAACUACUUAGUAAAGUUUUUAAGGCUAAUAGAUAACACAAAAUCGAGCUGGUACCAUCUUUCGAUGGAUGUUGUGGGGGUGCAAUAACAUUUCUCACCCGUAAUCGUACUCCCGGGCCUAGUUUUAGUUUCGCAGACAUUGAAUCUACUUUACAAAGAUACCUAAGUUAAACUUAGGAUUUUUCUUUAAAAAGGGACAGAUUCAGUCAGGUGGCCAAUCGCAUCUAAACAAAAAAGAUUGGUGGAUACUCCUUAAGUCAAUGUCUAGCGAUAGGUCCACGAAUCUAGACGUUAUGACAGUUUGAUGACUCCACUGGGGAGCAGCUGAGAGUCAGGCCAGCAAAUAAAUUCGUGUUAUCCAAAAGCCUAAUAAAAUUGAACCUUUUGUAUAGAUUUUUUAUUCAUUCAUAUUUAUUUAUUUUGUUAAUUAUGUCAUUUUUAUGCAUGUGCAUAACAUGAGCUCUAUACCUGAGCUCUGUCCUUUUAGGAGGAAGUAAAGUACCUAUUGCUUUCGUAAGGUUUUAAUACCUCGGCAGUAGUUAGUGAAAUACUCUCACUCAAAUUAAAAUUUUUUGCCUGUAGCCUAUAGUGGGUGAGGAUUGGGAUGUCUUACUAGUCUGUAAUGGACAAUGAUGUAAGGAGCAAUUUGAAAAUCUUUAGACUUUAACCUCGAUCCACAUAUAAUGGACCUUAGAAAUGCCUAACCUAUAGAUAGAGCCAUCUCUUUCUCGUUAGAAUUGACCAAAAGCAUAGGAUUCAUUCCUCUUAUUAUGUGUGAUGUUUUAAUUUAUUUAGUUAUUUAUUUAUUUCCCUUUACCUGAUGUACUAACCUCUUUUCCUAUUCAUUGUUUGCAUGAUUCAUACUCAUAUCAUAAAGUGCAUAAAGAACAUUUGCUUGAAAGACAGUCUUUAACAAAGAGUUUUUCAUGAAUUUCACAAAACGAUUGGGCUACUCUUCAUCUGUAUUAACUCGUUGUGAAUCACCCAAUGAAGUAAAGGUUCAAUUAGAAAAGAUCCAGCAAAAAAAAGGGGACUGUCUACCUGUUGGUCAUGUUUCUACCUUGGCGCAAGAAACAUCAAUCCUCGAUAUAUGGAAGAAAAUGAGUCUAUUAAGACAAGAGGAGUUUUGCCAGAGACAUGGACAUAUAGCACACCUUUUUACAGUAAAUAUUGAGAAUCAACUAAUUAGAGCCACAGUGCAAUUCUGAGAUCCUUCAUACAAGUGUUUCAUCUUCAAUGAAGUUGUUAUGACACUAACCAUUAAAGAAUACUCGACUUUGUUGGGUUUGUACCUCAUGGCUCCUGACAAAAUAUAUGUCAAGAAACAUAAAUCAAGAUUUCGUAAAAAUCUGGCCCAUCUGAUGGGGAUAAACAAAGAUAUUAUGGAUUUUCAUACAAAGAAGAAGCAAUAGUAGGUUUACUUACCUUAAAAGUUUUUCAUGAUUUUUUGAUACAACAUAGCUUUGAAAAGCGUAGGUUAGACGUGUUUACCUUAACAGAAUGAUGAUAUUUUCAAAUGUUUUAUGGUAUAUUGAAAUAGUAGUGAUUGACUUCUUCGAAAGCGUGAUCAAUGGCUAUAACUCUUCAACGGUGAUAUCGGUAGAGACUAUUAGAUCUUUAAGUUACUGUCGCCAGAUGGGGGACGUUUCACGGGCUGUAUACAACUAUUGUAUUUAUGGAUGAAAAGCCAUUUCGAGUGUAAAAAAAGUGCAUUCUCAAAGCUUUAUUUUUGUAAUUGAACUCCAAUAAAAGAAUUUUAUAAAAGUGGGUGGCCAAAACAAAAGCCUAAAAAAGAAUGGAUAGCUUUCUUACAAAAGUUGACAAGUACCGAGAUAAGAUGAUUGGUUCCAUAGAUGAAUCAUGAACCCAUGCUAUAUUAGUGUAAAGAUAACACUGUAGUCCCACUUUUAAGCUUAUGAGAAGCAAUAAGUUAUGUUCUAUUUCUAGUUGGAAGACAGUUUGGGACAGAACAGUUUAUUUCCAUGACACAUGGGCUUCAUCAGUAAGAUUUUUCUUAUAAUAAGCCAAAAGCCUUUCAGAGGAUAAAUGAUGUCAUUAAAGCAUGGAAAAAUCCCCACAGGGUGAGUCCUGAGCUAUUCACUGAUAAGGUCACUUAUGGGUACGGGGUCUGGAGAGCAAGACGAGGACAGAAAGUGGUAUUCACUCUUGAGAGUUUUCAACCACCAAUAAGAGAAAUGCUCGAAGAAACACAAUCAGAAUUAGAACUUGCAAGGAAAGAAUUCGAGGUUGAAAAAGAUAAGCUAAAGCAAGAGAUUCAGAAGCUUCAAGAAGAGAAAGAUCAAUGGAAAGAUAGAGCUAAAAAACAUGAAGUUAAAGUUUGUAAGAUUACUAAGAAACGUGAUACAGCUGUUAAAGACCUAGCAGAGCUACACCAAGAACAUAAAAGGUUAUGUGUGAGGGUAAAGGCCAAAGAGAUAACAAUCGCUGAGUUGAUUGAUGAGAAUGAGUGAUUAUUGAAUUAGAAGAAAAAAGUACCCAAGUACAUACAGAAAAUAAUAUGUUGAAUAACUACCUAAGCAUGUUGAGAUAAAUGAUGAAUGAACAAGAAGACUAUAUCGCUGUAUUGGUUAGAGAGCAUAGAGAAUUAUCAUACCAAGUGUGGUGUGGUAAAAGGAAAAACCUAGAAAGAUAGAGGUAUAUCGAGCAUUUGAUAACCCAAAUUUGCAAAGGGGCAGGUAAGGCAAGAGAAUGGUCGAAGAGGCAGAAGCAUUAAAGUAAGUGGUGGCCCCAGUAGAGAAACAUGGACAAUGCCUGUUGAAUUCAUUAAAGAAGCAAAAAACUAGUAUGAACGGAUCAAAAGAUUCUAUGGUUAUAACUCUAGGAUGAUAAAUUCUAUGUAAACAAAGUUUCUUUGAAAUAAAUAAAAUAUUUUGGUUGAACACUGUCUUAAGGUAAAUGUUCUUUGCAUGCAUGCAUUUUCAUUCGUUGCAUUCUCAUUCAUUUUAUUUAACAAAAUAAUCGUCUUAAGUUUUUAUGAGAUAGUCAUAUAAACUUGCUAAUUCUGAGAUAUGAUAUUAAAGGUUCAAGGAUAGCUCGACCAUUAAUAAAUUUGAGCUAACCUGUACAUCACCCAUAUAAUACUCCAUCGUGAGCUAGACAAAUGGAACGAGAACAAAAUACUCGUAUAGAUAAGAUCAAAAAAGCUCAAAAAGAGAUAAAGGGAAAAUUGAUGAAGUUGAUGAAAAUGUUAAAAAAAUUGGACAAGAGUAAGACAGUAGAAGAAACCCCUAAUCUGAAUGAAAGGUAAUAUAUUGUGGAUCCUUUAUACCGUCUCGGGUUUGAUCCAAACCAAGGUCAAUCUUCUCAAGAGACACAAGCCUCACACAUACCAUUUUCUAGGGCAUAUGCUUACACCUAUCCUGAAGCACCAUAUCGUAGUUACACUAACCUCACUUUUGGGGUAAAGACAGCAGACCUAGUUGAAGUCCCUAAUUUUGAUGACCUUAAAGAGAAGGAAAGGUUGAAAGCAAAAACCACUAAGGUAAUUGAAGAGUCAAACUCCUAACAGAAAAUAAAUAUUUUAGAGGAAAGAGUUUAAGCCAUUGAGGGUAUGGAUUAUUUUGGCACUAUGGAUCAUCCCAAUUAUGUUUAGUUCCAGAUGUGAUCAUCCCACCGAAGUUUAAAGUCCCUCAAUUUGAAAAAUUCGAUGGGACUAAAUGCCCAUUAACCUACGUUACCAUGUAUUACCCGUAAAAUGGCCGCUCAUGCUCAUGAUGAAAAAUUAUUGAUACAUGUCUUUCAAGAUAAUCUUACAGGCUCUACAGUAAGAUGGUACGUACAAUUAGACACAUUAUAAACUUAGCACCUGACCGACUCUUCUUACAAAGCAUAAAGAAAAAAAUUGUAAAAAGUUUCAAGCAAUAUGCUCAAAGAUGGAAAGAUGUUGCUUCUCAAGUCUAACCACCUCUCAUAAAAAAAAGUAAUGAUACUUUUUGUUAGUUCUUUUAAAUCUUCUUAUUAUGAAAGAUUAAUAAGAAAAGCUACGAAGAAUUUUACCGAUAUGGUUAUAUCAGGUGAGAUGAUUAAAAAUGUCAUUAAGAACAGUAAGUUAGAUUGAUGAGAGAUAAUCGAUGUAAAGAAGAGUGGCCCAUCUAAGAAGAAAGAAGAAGAAACUCAUACUGUGAGUUGUGAGGGCCAACAGUUCAAAGGUUAUGUUCUUUUUUUAUAACCACCCUAUGAUCCAACCCAAGUUGUAACUACCCACUACUCAUAUCAACCAUCAUACUAGUAAGUCUACCAACCAACCCUUCAACCACAACCACUCAUACAUAUAUACAAUUCAUCCACCAUACCUCAAGUAAGAUUUAUCCCUAAACAGAAUACCCAGCUAAGUAAUUCAAGAGAGUCAUGAAACAACCAAAGAGAAGGUCACAUUUGACCUAAUCUCUAUGCCUUUUACAGACCUACUCCCAUAGCUCAAAAAAAAUUAGUAGCUUGUGUCCCUAUAGAUCUUGUAAAACCACUUUUUCUUAAAUAGUAUGACCCAAAUGCUCAAUGUGAUUAUCACUAUGGGGUUACAGGCCAUUUCAUAGAUAACUAUAUCUCUUUGAAACAUAAGGUGCAAAACUUGAUAAAAAAGGUUUGAUAAGCUUUGAAGAAGAAAUGGCACCUAAUGUCAAUGGUAACCAUCUACCAACCCAUACUGGGGUAAUAAUUAAUGUCAUACAUAAGGAUCAUACUAGCAGAAUCAAAAGAAGGGUAGAUAAGAUUAGGACCCCUCUAGAUAAAGUGUUUGAUACCUUAUUGGGAGCAAAUAUACUGUAUUCGAUGGACCCAUAUAUUUAUCGUAGAGAGUACAAUCCGUUCUAAAAAUGUAAAUACCAUAAGCGACUUGUAGGGCAUUCGAUUGAAAAUUGUGAUCAAUUUUGUCAAAUUCUGUAACAAUUGAUGGAUUCAUUCCAAAUUGAGUUUUACGAAGAUGAAAAAAAUUUAAAAAAUAUAGAGGUAUCCAUCACCGAGUAGGUUUCAAAGCCCAUUUUAAAACCACUGACAAUAUAUUACAAGAGGCCAAAGCCAAUAGAGAGCCAACCCACCUUUAAACCAGUUAUAACUUUCAAGAUCCCUAGUCCUUUCUCAUACCAGAAUAACAAGGUAAUACCAUAGAAAUAUAAUUGUGAGGUUGAAACGACGGGGUCAAAUGAAGGAGAUAUAUCAAGCAAUUCUGAUACAGUAAAUAUAAUUGGAGUGGGUGGCAUGACUAGAAGUUGAAGAUGUUCAUCUCCAAAAAUGGUAGAGAAAGCGAAAAAAAAGAAAUCAAAAGUUGAAAAGGAAAAAAAGAAUAAGAAAAACCCCGUGGCAGUGCCAAGACAGGAAUACCAAAAACCCAUUUCUGAAAAGGAGGCUUAUGAGUUUCUGAAGCUAAUCAAAUAUAGUGAGUAUAGUGUGAUGGAACAGCUGAAAAAAAUGCCAGCCAAGAUCUCACUUUUAUCAUUAUUGUUAAAUUCAGAGCCUCACCGUAAUGCUUUUUUUAAAUCAGGCAUACGUAUCCCAUAAUGUAUCUGUGGAACACAUAGAUAACCUUGUAAAGAAUCUGGUGGCCUCAAACUAUAUUACUUUUAAUGAUGAUGAGAUCCCCUCAAAAAGAAGAGAAAGUACUAAAGCUUUGCGUAUUACAGUUAGAUGUAAAAGCCAUACAAUAGCUAAGAUUCUUAUUGACAACAGCUUUGUGAUUAAUGUGAUGCCUAUGUCCACUCUGGUUAGGCUACCUGUUGACAUGUCUUACAUGAGAAUCAGCCAUAUGAUCAUUAGAGCUUUUGAUGGAGCUAGGUGAAAGGUGAUAGGAGAUAUUAAAAUACAACUACAAAUCUUGUCGUGUAAUUUCAAUGUCAAGUUUCAAGUGAUGGAUAUUAGAGUGGUCAUGGAUACACAUAGCGGGUGCUGUCCCAUCCUCGCUGCACCAAAAAAUAAAGUCAUUGUUGAGGGGAAACUGGUGAGUGUGUCAGGAGAAAAAAAUCUACUAGUGACCCAGCCAGCGAAUACUCCAUAUAUGAAAGCCACAGAUGAGGUUGUAAAGUGCUCUUAUAGAUCAUUUGAGCUAGUUAAUGUAACUUAUGUUGGCGAAGGAUCUAGGUUGUAUACAUCAUAACUGUCAGCCACUACCAAGAUGGUUGUUAAGUAGAUAAUUGAAAAAGGAUGGCAUCUUGGAAAAGGGCUAAAAAAAAAGCAGCAUGGGUUCAAAAAUUACCAGCUGUGAUUAACAACCAGGAGAGAUUUUGCUUAGGAUAUAAGCCAACCAAAGUGGAUAAAGAGAGGCUGAUUGAAAGCAAGAAAGAGAAGAGGAUGGCCAAAUUUAAAAGACAGAAGCUAAGGUCAGAAAAGAUUAUUAUUUCUUAUCUGUAUGAUACCUUUCGAUUAAGAUGAUGUAUUUACCUUGGUGAUGAUAACCAGGAUGUAGGGUUGAAAGAAUUUUUUUUUGAACUUUUCAUUCAAAUGAUGGAAGAAGAGGUGAUUAAAAGUUAAGAUAAAGAGUUGUUAGUGUAUCUAACCCUAUAAGGCUUAGAGUUGAAGAAUUGAGAGAUCAUUGAGCUGCUUAUUGUCCUUGAGUCUUUAAAAAGUAAUAUAGCGAAUGAAAUUCCUAUACUUUUGCCUAAGAGUACUAGGUUUAUUUUUUUUUAUAUGGGCCAUUCAUUCAUUUCAAUAAAAAGAUCGAUGUAAUGCAUUUGCAUUUCUUCUAUCCAUUUUUUAAUUUUUCAUUUCAUACAUCUUGUCGACAUUUCUCCUUUCUUACUUACUCUUAGGUACCCAGAUAAUAAAUAUGAAGAUAAUCAUGAUAGUAACCCAAGGUUUGAUUUCAAAAAUCCAAUAUAUAUUGGUGAACUUGAUCAUGAAAAGAACUCAGAUGAUGACACUUUACCUCUUAACCUAGUGAAAUUUAUAGAACAAGAGAAGAAACCAAUUGAACCUCACUAAAAAAAUAUUGAAUUAAUAAAUCUAGGAGAUGAUAUUAACAAAAAAUAAGUUAAAAUGGGCAUGUCAUUACCUCUAAAUAAUAGGCAAAGAUUAAAAGAAUUACUUUGUGAAUAUGUAGACGUCUUUACAUGAUUUUACCAAGACAAUGUCUGGACUUAGUACUGAAAUAGUAUAGCAUAAGCUACCUUUAAAGUCAGAGUGUAAAUCAAUGUAGCAGAAAUUGAGACGAAUAAAGACUGAAAUGUUAUUGAAGAUCAAAGAAAAAAUGAAGAAAUAGUUUGAUACAGGUUUUUUAGAGGUGGUUAAGUAUCCAGAUGGGUAACGAACAUAGUCCCAAUGCUGAAAAAAAUGAAAAAGUCUAGAUGUGUGUCGACUAUCAAGAUUUGAACAAGGCAAGCCUAAAAGAUAACUUUCCUUUACCUCAUAUUGAUACCCUAGUAGACUAUACAACUAAACAUUCCAUAUUUUCUUUUAUGGUUGGAUUCUUGAGGAAUAAUCAAAUUAGGAUGGCUAAAGAUGACAUGGAGAAAACUAUAUUCAUCACUAUAUGAGGAACUUUUUGUUACAAAGUAAUGUCUUUCGGGUUGAAAAAUGCUGGAGCCACUUACCAAAGAGCUAUGGUAACUCUCUUUCAUGACAUGAUGCAUAAAGAAAUAAAAGUAUACGUGGAUGACAUGAUUGCGAAGUCUAGAAAAGGAAAAGAUUAUGUUGCCAACCUCAAGAGAUUAUUCGAGAGGUUGAGAAGAUUUUAGUUGAAAUUAAACCUAUCAAAAUACACAUUCGGGGCUAUGUCAGGGAAGCUAUUGGGUUUUGUAGUUAGUGAAAAAGGAAUAGAGGUAGAUCCUGACAAGAUUCGAGUCAUCCAAAACUUGUCACCUCCAUGCACAAAAAAAAAUGUAUGAGGUUUUUUAGAAAGGUUGAAUUAUAUAUCUCGAUUAAUUUCUCAGGUCACUCUUAAAUGUGAUCCUAUUUUCAAACUCUUCUGUAAAUAUAGCUCUGACAAAUGGGAUGAUGAAUAUCAGAAAGCUUUCGAUAAAGUCAAAGAGUACAUGUCAAAUCCAUCUAUACUAGUACCACCUAUUCUAGGAAAACCAUUGAUUCUAUAUUUAACUAUGAAUGAAGGCUCUAUGAGAUGUGUAUUGGGGUAACAAGAUGAAACAAACAAAAAAGAGCAAGCCAUCUACUAUUUAAGUAAAAAAUUUACUGACUAUGAAUCAAAGUAUUCCUCAUUGAAAAAGAUGUGUUGUGCCUUAGCUUAGACGACUCAUAGGCUUAGGCAAUAAAUGUUAUACCAUACCAUAUGGCUCAUAAUAAAAUUAGAUUCUUUCAAAUAUGUUUUCAAAAAAUCUUCACUAUCUGAAAGAAUUGCUUGAUGGCAGGUAAUACUUUUCGAAUACGAUAUUGUCUACGUAACUCAAAAAAUUAUUAAAAAAAAUGCCAUAGCUAAAUUUUUGACAGAACGAGCAGCUAAUGAUUAUGAACCAAUAAAGCUUGAUUUUUUGGAUGAAGACUUGAUGGUCGUUUCCCAAGUUGAUAAAGAAGAGUCUACUGAGCAGUCUUGGAAGAUGUAUUUUGACGGAGCUGUAAAUGCUUUAGGACAUGGAAUUAGGGCAAUCUUAAUAUCUCUAAAAGAGAAUUAUAUCCCUAUCACAGCAAGGUUGAAUUUCAAUUGCACUAAUAAUGUAGCUGAAUACGAAGCCUGUGUUAUGGGCUUACAAGCUGCAAUUGAAAGCAAAAUCAAAGUACUAAAAGUUUAUGGAUACUCAGCAUUAGUUAUUUAGCAGUUAAGAGGAGAAUGAGAGACAAGGGAUGCAAAGCUGAUAAAAUAUCACAAGUAUGUCGCUGUCUUGGUCAAACAAUUUGAGAAGAUUUAAUUUGAACAUCUACCUAGAGAAGAUAAUCAAAUUGCUGAUGCCUUAACCACAUUGGUAGCAUGAUCAAGAUGAAGACAUAUAUUGAAAUUCAACCUAUAAAGCUUAAUGUGAGAGAAUUUUUAGCACAUUGUUCAAAUGUCAAAGAGGAGGUUGAUGAGAAGCCUUGGUAUCACGACAUUUACAGUAUCUGAAGAAUCAACAAUACUCAGAGUAUGCUACUGAAAAUGAUAAAAAUAUUAUUAAAAGAUUAGUCAUGGGUUUCUUUUUUGAUGAAAAUAUCUUGUAUAAGAGAAAUCAAGAUCUAGUUCUUUUGAGAUAUGUAAAUGCAAUAAAGGCAUAAAAGAUCAUGGAAGAAGUUUAUAAUGGGGAGCUGUGGAGCUCAUGCAAGUGGCCACAUGAUGGAAAGACAAAUUAUGAGGGUAGGGUAUUAUUGGUCGACCAUGAAAAGUGACUAUAUAGAUUAUGCUAAAAAAUAUCAUAAGUGUCAAAUCUACGUAGAUAAAGUACAUGUCCUUCCAAAUGAUCUACAUGCCAUAACGCUUCCAUGGCUAUUUUCAAUGUGAGGCAUGGAUGUUAUCAAACCCAUCGCACUGAAGGCUUUAAAUAGACAUAGGUUCAUUUUUGUAAUUAUUGACUAUUUCACAAAAUAGGUUGAAGCUGCAUCAUAUACUAGUAUGACUCAAUCAGUGGUGUAUAAGUUCAUUAAGAAAGAGGUAAUAUAUAGAUAUGAGCUCUAAAAAAGAAUUAUCUCAGAUAAUGUCAAGAAUCUUAAUAGUAAGAUGAUGAAAGAGAUAUGUGCCCAGUUUAAGAUCAAGUAUAACAACUUGACACCUUACCAUCCAAAAAUGAAUGGAGCAGUAAAAGCAACAAACAAAAAUAUUAAAAAGAUUUUUAAAAAAUGACUGAAACCUAUAAAGAUUGACAUGAAAAAUUACUUUUUACUUUGCACGUUUAUCGGACAUCAAUAUGUAUUUCUACUGGGGUAACCCUAUUUUUUUUAGUUUAUGAGAUGGAAGCAGUGCUACUUGUAGAAGUAAAAAUCCCUUCUUUAAGAAUCUUAAGGGAAAUUGAUUUGAAAGAAGCUGAAUGGAUCUGGAAACAUUACGAGCAAUUAAAUUUUAUUGAGGAAAAAAGAUUGACAGCGCUAUGCCAUGAGCAGUUAUACCAAAAGAAAAUGAUACGAACGCAUGAUAGAAAAAUUUGACCUCAGUGUUUUCAUAAAGGGGAGUUGGUUCUUAAAAGGAUUCUCUCAAGUCAACAUGAUAAUAGAGAAAAAUAGACUCCGAAUUGGAAAGGUCUAAUGUUGUCAAGAAGGCAUUCUCAAAAAGAGCUUUAAUCCUUAUAGAAAUGGAUGGAAAAGAUUUGCCCAAUCUAAUAAACUCAGAUGCUAUGAAGAAGUACUUUUUUUAACAAAAAAAAAGAGGUCAAAUUGAAAACCCGUAAAGGGCGAUUUGAGUUCAAAAAAAAAAAAGAGAUUCAGAUUUAAAAUCCAUAAAGGGUGAUUUGAGUUUCAAAAAAGGAGGGCUCGAAUUAAAAACCCCACAAAAAGCAAUUUGAGGAUAUCUAAGUUGAAAGCCUGAAAAGGCAAUAUAGAGGUUCAAGAUAUUACUUUUAUGGCAUAAGGAAGAAGUGUGAUUUGAUGAACUUGACAAGAUCAAGAAUUCCAGGUUGAUAGUUUUGGGAAAAAAACUCUAGGUUACUUUGAUCAUGAUUAUUUGAUGGCCUACUUUAGCCCAUCUUUGUAACUCAGUCACAUUCAAUCAAUAAAAUCCAUUUCUUUCUUGAUGUCAACAUUGACCUCUUUUAUUGUUUUCAUUUUCUUUUUCUUUACCCUUUUACCUAGGUCAAAAGAUAUGUGCAUUUUCUUUACAUUUGUUAUUUUAUCGAAAUGAUAAUGAAAGAAUAAACAAUGAUAUGAAAGCCAAGAGCAGCAUAGGUAAGCCAAAUGAGACCAAUGAAAACUUAGUGAAAUGUUGAUCUCGGUUUGGCUGAAGCUAAAAGACAAUGAUAGUUUGAUUCCUUAACCAAAUAUGUUUAGAAGUUAAAGGGUUCAUCACUAAAGCAAAAAUGAAAACAGCGAAGAGCUUGAGAAUCUUUUUACCAUAAUUAGAUAGGUCCAAUAUUUUUUAACAUUUCAUUUAGGCAUUCCAGGAAAUUGGCAUUUCAUAGCACUUCACGUAUACAUGUUAUUUGCUUUUACAAUGAAGUGUUCAGACCCCACAAAUGAUUGAAGUUGUCAAGAAUGAAGUGGCAAUUGUUUCGAAUACAACAUGCACUAAUAGUCUAGAUUAUUCAUUUCGAGUUUCAGUUCAAUCCAGGUCAUUCUAUUUUCGAAUUUCGGCUUAUACCAAAUCUUUUUUUGACUUUUGUCAAAUCUUUCUUAGUCCAAGUUAUUCAUUUCAGACUUCGGUUCAGUCUAGGUCAUUUUGUUUUGGAUUUUAACUUUUGUCAAAUCUUUCUUCGACUUAGUCCAAGUUAUUCAUUUUAGACUUUAGUUCAGUUCAGGUCAUUUUGUUUUAGAUUUUAAUUUAUGCCAGAUUCUUCUUCAGCUCAGUCCAAAUUGUUUAUUUCAGACUUCGAUUCAAUCCAGGUCAUUUUAUUUUUGGGUGCUAUGCCAUAUCUUUCUUCGAUUCAGUUUAAGUUAUUUAUUUCAGACUUUGGUUCAAUCCAUGUCAUUUUUUUAAAUUUCGGCCUAUGCCAGAUCCUUAUUAAUUUCAGUCCAAGUUAUUCAUUUUAGAUUAGGAUUCAGUUUGGGUCAUUUUAUAUUGGAUUUUGGCUUAUGUCGGAUCCAUUUUCGGGUUAUCCCAUUUUGGACUCGAUGCAAUCUAUGUCAAAGUGUUGUCUUUCAAAUAAGGUCGUGAUGGGUGUCUAUGUUUUUGCAUAAUCUUUGUUUCACAAAAAUUAUUCAAAGAGAAGCAACUGUAGACACCCACUUCCCAAAUCUGUUUUCUUUGUGGGAAUAAAAAAUAAUAAUAAGUAAGGGUAAAGUUUCAAUUCUAGUGAAACUCUAUCAAGACUUGAAUUUCAAAACUGGAUAAAAAGAUCCCGUUUUUAAACCAAGGAUAACAAAUUAGGUAGAGGGAUUUUGAUUUUUAAACCCUUAUUCAAUCUGGAACUAGCCCUACAUAAACACCAACAAUCACAGAACAAAGAACACAGAGAAAAAAUGAUGAAAAAUAAGAGGCAAUCAUAAUGAAAUAUUUUGGAGUGAGUUUACAGUAGAAAGUUUCUAGGAAGUCAGUGUUUCGAUUGGGGAAUCAAUUUUUUUUUGGGAUUUUUUUAGAUUUUUUUGAAAAAUUCCAGAAUUUGAUGAAUUUUCUGAUGAAAAUUUAAGUUUUUCGACAUAUUUUCAAUGAAAAAUUCAGUUUUCGAUGAUAAUCCCAGAAAUCGAUAAACUUUUCGACGACAAUCGAGGAAGAUAAGAAACUGUCUGAGGAAAAAAUGAAAUUUCAAGCCUUUUAUAUUAGCUAAAAACGACGCCGUUUCGAGGAGCUGGCCGAGCUACCAAAGGUUUCUUUUAUUAUUAUUAUUAUUUAUUUAUUUAUUUAUUAUUAUCAUUAUUUUUUCCUUAUUUAUUUAUUGACUAAAUUGAGCUAAUUUAUUUAUUUAAUUAAACAUCCUUAAAUCUUCAAUGAUUUUUCCUAAAUAAAAAUUCUAAAAUUUUUUUUGACGAAAAAUUGAAGGUGUCAAUUUUUCUUAAAAUAAAAUUUACAGAAAAAAGGAAAUAUUUUUGAGAAAAAGUUGAAAAUAUCAAUUUUUCUUAAAAAUAAAAAUUUCAAUUAUAAAAAUAUUUUGAAGAAAAAUUGAAAGUAUCAAUUUUCCUUAAAAAUGAAAUUUCGAAAAGCAUUUUUGAGGAAAAGUUGAAAGUGUCAAUUUUUCUUGAAAAUAAAAUUUUCAAUUCUAAAAAAUAUCUUAAAGGAAAAGUUGAAAGUAUUAAUUUUCUUAAAAAUAAAAUUUUCAAAAAGCAUUUUUGAGGAAAAGUUGAAAAUAUCAAUUUUCCUUGAGAAUAAAAAUAAAAAUUUUUUCAAAAAAAAUAUCUUUGAGGAAAAGUUAAAAAUAUUAAUUUUUUUUCAAAAUAAAAUCGUCAAAAAGGAAAUAUUUUAAAGAAAAGUUGAAAGUAUCAAUUUUUCUUAAAAUAAAAUUUUCAAAAAAUGAUUUUUUGAGGAAAAACUGAAAUUUUCUUUAAAAAUGAAAUUUUUAAGAAAAAUAUUUUUGAGAAAAAGUUGAAAGUAUCAAUUCUCCUUGAAAAUAGAAAUAUCAAAAUGCUUUAAGGAAAAGUUAAAAGUAUCAAUUUUUCUUGAAUAAAAGCAUGAUGUUUUUUUUUUUUUUAUAAAACAAUAAGAUAAAAAGACUUCUAUCAAAAGCUUAAUGCAUUAUGCCCUUUUUCUUUCUCUUUUAAAAAAAAUGUCAAAUAAUCCGACGAUAGAGCCUCUACAAGAGAAACAAUAGUUUUCUUACAUACUCUUGAGAUGAGGGAAUUUUUUUUAAUUUUCUGCCAAAAUUAUUGGAGUCAAUUAAGAAUAAUUUUUAAUAAUUAACUACUUGGUAAAGUUUUUAAGGUUAAUGGAUAACAUGAAAUCGAGCUGGUACCAUCUUUCGAUGGGCGUUGUGGGGGUGCUAUAACUUUUCUCACGUGUAAUCAUACUCCCGGACCUAGUUCUAGUUUCGCAGACAUUGAAUCUACCUUGUAAAGAUAUCUAAGUCAAAUUUAAUAUUUCUCUUUAAAAAGUGACAGAUUCAGUUAGGUGGUCAAUUGUACCUAAACAAAAAAUAUUGAUGGCAACUCUUCAAGUCAAUAUUUAACGAUAGAUCCACGGAUCUAGACGUUAUGAAAAUUAAUUCUGCAAUUAGUACCGUAUAAUUUCAAUAAAAUAAUACAAUCUCCUAUCAGCUAUACAUAUGAUCUCGAACAUGCAUGAAUGUCAUCAUUUUGUCACUAGAAGAUCCAUUUCUUGAGCAUAAAACAUUUCUAUUUUCAACGUUUAGGCACUGCAUGCAGUAUACUUUUGGAAAAAUAAAAGAAAUAGCGUAAUUAACAAGAUUACCUGCUUGCUUAUAGAAUUGAGGACGACCACCACGAUAGUCCUCAUCACUUGUUGAUGGCUCAAUUAGGAUGAAUCUGGACAUAUUUUUGGAUGGACGAAUCUCGACGUUUUGGUACAAUCUCUCAAACAAGUUUAAACCAUUUAGUUCAAGACUUCAAAAAGUUACUAUACAGAGUAACUUCUUAUUCUUAAAUUAUUCGUCAAGGUGUCAAACUCUUCUAAGUUGCAUGCAUUAUUAUUUGAAGGAAAAAAAAGCUCUAGUAUUCAGAGCAUACUCUACGUAUUUAUGUACUGCAAUACUCUGUACAAUGAACCUAGACUCAGAUAAGUUAAGUAUUGCAGUACCUGGAACAGUUAUUGGGAAUCAAAAUUAAGUUCAUAUACAUGAGAGAUUCUUCUGCUCGAACUGAAAUAAAUUUUAAGUAUUAACAACUUAAGUUGCAAUUUUACAGCCUAGCACGGCAGAGAAUCAAAAGAGUUAUUAGCAGUCUUUCUUCUCUGUAUAUAAAGCAGUGCUAAAAGGUUCAAUACUGCCGGAUGCUGUGGACUUCCUCAGAUGGGAAGGAGCAAAGAGCCCACUUCCUACAAUAGCUAUCUUUUUUUUCUUUCGAAAAGUUCUCAUUUGGCACUGCCUACCUAUGGUCAUGGCAGCUUAACGGCCAAUCUCUGGUCAUUACAGCUCGCAUAUUCAACGAGACCAGGUGCCCACUUCCCUUUAGUUUUUUACUUCCGGUUAAACUAGGAGGUAGCUGGUCCAGCUGGGACGGCCUCUCGUCUCGCCCUUCUUUCUUCGGAUUUGAAUUUCCUUUUGUCGACGGGGAAUUGGAGCUCAUCAUUUGCUUUCUUUGACUUGGUCGACCAAGACAAAUGCAAGAUUUCUUUAGUGAUGAAAUGCAAGUGGAGGGAGGGACCUCUCUUUUGGUUGUUGCCCUUGACUUUUUUAUUAAUUAUGAUCAUGCCGAUAUUUACCAAAAAAAAAAAAUUGCAAGCGUGAGAAUAGCCGUUAGACAAACAAUUGAUCACACCAAUAACAAAGAGUUUAUGUUGUUUACACAAGCAUGAACUGUCCCUUCAAAUUCUUGCAGAAGAUCCUCAGUUGAUUAGGAUUGUUUUUUCAGUGAUCAAUUCCAGCAGGACCCACUGAUAAAUAUUCUUAGUGGAGUAAUACAAAUAUAAUUAAACAAUAGAAAAAAAAAUCUCACUCAAGAAUUGUCUUUCAGUACAGUAUGAUUUUGUUUAAGGAACCUAGUAGAACAGCCUAGCUUUUCAGAGAUAGAGGAUGGAUCUCAAUUGUUGAUGUGACAUACCUUUGAUUUUUUUUAUGGCAUGACAUGUUCUCGAGUUCGAUAAAGAAAGAGCUCUCACUCCUUAGGAGAGAAAGAGAAAGUCAAACCUCUAGUGCAAAUUCCAUAAAGCACAUAAAGGGUCAAAUUUUUGCAUUUAGAAACCUCGAAAAGCAAGAUUCAUAUCAAUAUCAACUUAUGACACUGAUACGUGGUCAAUUUCCGGCUGUUCAAUGAACCAUCCAUUGUGACCCGUGAUACUACUUUUUUCCAUUAGUGGAAGCUAAAUCAAACCCAGUUUUCUUAAUUAAAACAUUUCCAUCACUAGAGCGCUUUCUCUACUGUUUUAUAAAUUAUUGUUUAGGCUGGUAUUAGUAGUUAAGGUUCAAAGAUGCUUGUUUUUAUUCUUUGAAUUCAUUUUCUGAGCAUAUAAGAUGCUUACAAUCAAUUAGUACUUUUAGAUCAUUGGUGGUGUUGUUACGGCCGGGCCCUAUCAUUUUGGUUACUUGGGCACUAACUGUACUGCCAUUGGGUUAUACUAACUGAUACUUUUGAAUACAGCUUAACUUGAGGAAUAUUGGUUGGAAAGUGAAAGUUUAGGCAUAAAAAAAAGGUUAAGUUGGAGGGAUAUGCUGUCCUCUUAUUCCAUUCAAUUGGUUUUCCCAAGGUUUCUGAAGUCUCUUAUGAUUUCAUUUUGCCAUAGAUCUCAUAUAUAAUUAUAGCCAGUAAUUGGAUGGUAAGACUAGUAAAGGAAAACAUUGAGAAAUUUAUUUUCAACACUUGCAUAACUAGGAGAUGACAUUUGGUUCAAUUAAAGUUGUCAUUCUUAUCAGAUACCCUAUUAAUAAGCUUAUUAAUGCCAGUUAAUUGAACACAAGAAAUUAAUUUCAUUAAAAGUUGUUGAAGGUGUUGUUAAUUAUCUAUAGUUUCCAGCAGCGAAGCUUUAACAUUCAGCAUCCAAACAAUGAUUCUACCCAUUUGUAGUUGAAAGUUUGCAACUGCCAUUAACAAUGGAGGUUCAAAAAAAGAGGUAUAGGACAGAUGUAUUUCACUUGAAUUUGUCGACCAAAAGAGUUCUAAAGCUUGCACAACAGCCAUCAGCAUAUAAUAAUACUAUUUAUGCAUUUUUGCAAGGGGUGCAUUUCGGUGGUGGGGAAGCCCAUUUCCUAAAAUAUAUUGCUAUCUCUAGGGAAUAUCCGGAUAUAAACCAACACGGUUAGCAUCUAAUAUUUUAUGUCUGUCACUAAAAUUUUGAUUAAACAGAUUGCUGUCCUCACACAUUAAUUCAAACGACAAAGAAACAUUACCGCACUAUGAAAGGUCAAGGAUCGAGCUUCAAUCUGCAAUAGACAGCUUUGUCCUCGAAAUUUUUUUAAAAAGAGAGGUGUUGAGGAUGCCAUUGUUUCACUCUGCAGAAGUUCUUAUUAUGGUUAAGAAAAGAUACAAUAAGAGCAGAAUAAGUGGGGUAGAGAGAAGAUUACCAAGAUAUAUGCAAAAUAUGGAAGAUAUUGUCUUCAAGAGAGUCAAAUUAUAAUACAUUUGGUGGGACAUAGAACAAUACUAGUGAGAGAUAUCUUCAAGAGAGGAAAUACAUUAAUUUCCACAUUAUUGUAUAAAAAAAAUGUUUCUAGAAUUCAAACCCUUAAUUAUUGCAAUCGAUGCCACACCACUCAUUAAGGUUUAUGAAUAAUUAGCCGUUAGGAUCCUUAAAGGGCCCUGAUUCUUGACAUUAUAAAUCGGGGAAGAGCUGAACUCGCUUCAUUGUGCUUGGUUUUAUCUUCUCCCUCUCAUCUCUCUUAAUCCUAUCUCUGGCUGUUUCAUUCUGUAAUAUAUACUACAAGAGCCAUGGAUCAAUGUGUUGUUUUUCUUCUUGCAUUGAUUGCCUGCAGCCAUUUAGUUUUCUCAGUUGAGGGAAGACAAAUAAAAUCAGUGAGCAAACUUGGUUCAAAGCAGAGCAACCAGGUUGACAACUCUGCAAUGCACAAAGAAGAUCAUCAACCUGGAGCCCCAUGUUACAUUUCUAAUGCUCCUGCCCACCAUUCAGCUUCAGUAUCAGGAAAGAAAGAAAUAUUGUCACUCCCUAUACCAACUAAGAGCUCAGAUUUUGGAGAUUCACUUGCAGGGUAUAAAGGAGAUUUUCGACCCACUACACCAGGGAACAGUCCUGGUGUUGAUCAUUCUUUUGUAGAAGAUGAUGAAGAUACUGAACAAAAAGCAGGAAGCAUUAGCCCAAGCAAUGAUAAGCAUUCUAUUGCAGACGCUAAAGAAGAUUUCCAACCUACCGACCCAGGACACAGCCCUGCUGCUGGACAUUCUUUAGCAGAAGAUGAUGAAGAUACUGUACAAAAAUCAGGAAGCAUUAGCCCAAGCAAUUAUAAGCAUUCUACUGCAGAAGCUAAGGAAGAUUUCCGACCUACCGACCCAGGACACAGCCCAGGUGCUGGACAUUCUUUAGCAGAAGAUGAUGAAGAUACUGAACAAAAAUCAUUAAGCAUUAGCGUAAGCAACGAUAAGCAUUCUAUUGAAGAAGGUAAGGAAGGUUUCCGACCUACCGACACAGGACACAGCCCUGGUGCUGGACAUUCUUUAGCAGAAGAUGAUGAAGAUACUGAACAAAAAUCAUUAAGCACUAGCCCAAGCAAUGAUAAGCAUUCUACUGAAGAAGGUAAGGAAGGUUUCCGACCUACCAACCCAGGACACAGCCCGGGAGCUGGUCAUGCUUUUCCAAGCAAAAUUUCAGAACCAAAUGCCUAGACAUGUAAAUGCCUCCACAGG
RNAcentral lists this long non-coding RNA (39664 nucleotides) under Durio zibethinus. Its description in RNAcentral is "long non-coding RNA (DZIB_LNC000352)". The record is from RNAcentral. Lineage: Eukaryota; Viridiplantae; Streptophyta; Magnoliopsida; Malvales; Malvaceae.